AACGCACCUUGCGCUCCUUGGUAUUCCGAGGAGCAUGCCCGUUUGAGUGUCGUGAUAUCAUCAAGCCGACCCCUCCUUUACUGGUGGGGGUUGCGCUUGGACUUGGAUGUGCUGCCGGACGGCGACGCCCGGCUCAUCCCAAACGCAUUAGCUGGAUUUAUUCCUGGCUUGGACUUUUGUUCUCACUCGGCGUGAUAAUGUCACCCGUCGAGGACGUCCCUCGCCUCACGGACCGGCUUCCAACCGUCCCCUCGUGGACAAAUCACUUUGACAAUCUGACCUCAAAUCGGGUAGGACUACCCGCUGAACUUAA
RNAcentral lists this ribosomal RNA (313 nucleotides) under uncultured fungus. RNAcentral's name for it is "eukaryotic LSU rRNA". Lineage: Eukaryota; Fungi. The record is from RNAcentral.